CGUGCCCGCAGCCACCCGCAUUAAGUUCCCACGCCUGGGGAGUACGGCCCCAAGGCCAAAACUCAAAGGAAUUGAUGGGGGCCCUCACAAGAGGCGGACCAUGUGGGUUAAUUGGACGCAACGCGAAGAACUUUACCAAGGCUUGACAUACACCGGAAACUGGCAGAGAUGUCAGCCCCCUUGUGGUCGGUGUACAGGUGGUGCAUGGCUGUCGUCAGCUCGUGUCGUGAGAUGUUGGGUUAAGUCCCGCAACGAGCGCAACCCUUGUUCUGUGUUGCCAGCAUGCCCUUCGGGGUGAUGGGGACUCACAGGAGACUGCCGGGGUCAACUCGGAGGAAGGUGGGGACGACGUCAAGUCAUCAUGCCCCUUAUGUCUUGGGCUGCACACGUGCUACAAUGGCCGGUACAAUGAGCUGCGAUACCGCGAGGUGGAGCGAAUCUCAAAAAGCCGGUCUCAGUUCGGAUUGGGGUCUGCAACUCGACCCCAUGAAGUCGGAGUCUCUAGUAAUCGCAGAUCAGCAUUGCUGCGGUGAAUACGUUCCCGGGCCUUGUACACACCGCCCGUCACGUCACGAAAGUCGGUAACACCCGAAGCCGGUGGCCCAACCCCUUGUGGGAGGGAGUCGUCGAAGGUGGG
Molecule: ribosomal RNA, 637 nt
Filed under: Streptomyces thermolineatus
Lineage: Bacteria; Bacillati; Actinomycetota; Actinomycetes; Kitasatosporales; Streptomycetaceae
Description: bacterial SSU rRNA
Rfam family: Bacterial small subunit ribosomal RNA
Source: RNAcentral